GGCCCACCUCCCUUCGACUUUGAUCCAAGUAGCUGUAGCAGCGGCAGCUAGAAGCAGCAGCUGGGGCCCCUGGUGAGGUGAUCGUGCCAUUGCCGUGUCCGUGGGUCCACAGCCAGGUGCUCAGACCACAAGCCAGAGAGAAAGGUUGGGUUUGCCAGGGACCAGGGCAGGGGGGCAGCUGCCCAGGAGCUUUCAGUACCGCUGCGUAAAGCUGGUCUCAGCUCGGACCCUGAGUCUGGUUCGAUCAAGUCCUGGACCUUCUGGGAUUCCCAAGGGGCCCCAGCUCAAUGGGGCUGCCUCUGCCGCUGCUUCAAUCCUCUCUUCUGCUAAUGCUUCUUUUGCGGCUGUCGGCGGCGUCCACCAACCUGAACUGGCAGUGCCCACGAAUACCCUACGCAGCCUCCCGAGACUUCAGUGUCAAGUACGUGGUCCCCAGCUUCUCCGCGGGGGGCCGGGUACAGGCCACCGCAGCCUACGAGGACAGUACAAAUAGUGCGGUGUUUGUGGCCACACGCAAUCACCUGCACGUGCUUGGGCCUGACCUGCAGUUCAUAGAGAACCUGACCACUGGCCCUAUCGGGAACCCUGGCUGCCAGACUUGUGCGAGCUGUGGUCCAGGCCCUCAUGGACCACCAAAGGACACAGACACACUGGUGCUAGUGAUGGAGCCAGGUUUGCCAGCCCUGGUCAGCUGUGGCUCAACCCUACAGGGCCGCUGCUUCCUGCAUGAGCUGGAGCCUCGGGGGAAAGCCCUGCACUUAGCAGCUCCAGCCUGCCUAUUCUCAGCAAACAAUAACAAGCCUGAGGCCUGCACGGACUGUGUGGCUAGCCCCCUGGGCACUCGUGUGACUGUGGUGGAGCAGGGGCAUGCUUCCUACUUCUAUGUGGCAUCUUCGCUAGACCCAGAGUUGGCCGCUAGCUUUAGCCCCCGCUCGGUGUCCAUCCGUCGUCUAAAGUCUGAUACUUCUGGAUUCCAACCAGGUUUUCCGUCGCUGUCGGUGCUGCCCAAAUAUUUGGCCUCCUACCUCAUCAAAUAUGUGUACAGCUUCCACUCGGGGGAUUUUGUCUACUUUCUGACUGUCCAGCCCAUCAGUGUCACAAGCCCUCCCAGUGCCUUGCAUACACGUCUGGUCCGGCUCAAUGCUGUAGAGCCAGAGAUUGGUGACUACCGGGAGCUGGUCUUGGACUGUCAUUUUGCACCUAAACGCCGGCGCCGUGGAGCCCCGGAGGGCACACAGCCCUACCCAGUGCUUCAGGCAGCCCACUCUGCUCCAGUGGAUGCCAAACUGGCUGUGGAACUGAGCAUUUCAGAGGGCCAGGAAGUGCUUUUUGGGGUCUUUGUGACCGUCAAGGAUGGUGGCUCUGGCAUGGGUCCCAACUCUGUUGUAUGUGCCUUCCCCAUUUACCACCUGAACAUCCUGAUUGAAGAGGGUGUCGAAUAUUGCUGUCACUCUUCAAAUUCUUCUUCCCUGUUGUCGAGAGGCCUUGACUUCUUCCAGACGCCCAGUUUUUGUCCUAAUCCGCCUGGUGGAGAGGCCUCCGGCCCCAGCUCCCGUUGCCACUACUUCCCUUUGAUGGUCCACGCUAGCUUCACCCGUGUGGACCUCUUCAAUGGACUGUUAGGAUCAGUGAAGGUCACCGCACUGCAUGUGACACGUCUUGGCAAUGUUACAGUGGCCCACAUGGGCACUGUGGAUGGGCGUGUCCUACAGGUGGAGAUAGCCAGGUCACUCAACUACCUGCUGUAUGUGUCCAACUUCUCCCUGGGCAGCAGUGGACAGCCUGUUCAUCGGGAUGUCAGCCGCCUCGGGAAUGACCUACUCUUUGCCUCUGGGGACCAGGUCUUCAAGGUGCCCAUCCAGGGCCCUGGCUGUCGUCAUUUUCUCACCUGUUGGCGUUGCCUGAGAGCACAGCGCUUCAUGGGAUGUGGCUGGUGUGGGGACCGGUGUGACCGGCAGAAGGAGUGUCCUGGCUCCUGGCAACAGGACCACUGUCCGCCUGAGAUCAGUGAGUUCUAUCCUCACAGCGGGCCUCUAAGGGGCACUACGAGGCUCACCCUUUGUGGCUCCAACUUCUACCUGCGACCUGAUGAUGUCGUACCUGAGGGAACACACCAGAUCACCGUGGGCCAAAGUCCCUGCCGACUGCUGCCUAAGGACUCUUCAAGCCCUAGGCCAGGGUCCCUCAAGGAAUUCAUACAGGAACUUGAAUGUGAGCUGGAGCCCCUGGUCACCCAGGCAGUGGGGACUACAAACAUCAGCCUUGUCAUCACCAACAUGCCAGCAGGCAAGCACUUCCGAGUGGAAGGCAUCUCUGUACAGGAAGGCUUCUCUUUCGUGGAGCCAGUGCUGACAUCAAUAAAACCUGACUUUGGCCCGCGGGCUGGGGGUACUUAUCUCACCCUUGAAGGCCAGAGCCUGUCUGUCGGCACCAGCCGGGCUGUGCUGGUCAAUGGAACCCAGUGCCGGCUGGAACAGGUCAAUGAGGAGCAGAUCUUAUGUGUCACGCCUCCUGGAGCUGGCACGGCCAGGGUCCCCCUUCAUCUGCAGAUAGGGGGUGCUGAGGUGCCUGGCUCCUGGACCUUUCACUACAAGGAAGACCCUAUUGUGUUGGACAUCAGUCCCAAGUGUGGCUACAGUGGCUCCCACAUCAUGAUCCAUGGCCAGCAUCUGACUUCAGCAUGGCACUUCACGCUAUCAUUCCAUGAUGGACAAAGUACAGUGGAGAGCAGGCAGUGUGCGGGGCAGUUUGUGGAACAACAGCAGCGUCGAUGUCGCCUGCCUGAAUAUGUGGUCCGAAACCCUCAGGGGUGGGCAACAGGGAAUCUGAGCGUCUGGGGUGAUGGAGCAGCUGGCUUCACGCUGCCUGGUUUUCGCUUCCUGCCCCCACCCAGUCCACUCAGAGCUGGCCUGGUUGAGUUGAAACCUGAAGAACAUUCAGUUAAAGUUGAGUAUGUCGGGCUGGGCGCUGUGGCAGACUGUGUGACUGUGAACAUGACCGUGGGUGGUGAGGUCUGCCAACAUGAGCUCCGGGGGGAUGUGGUGAUCUGCCCCCUGCCCCCUUCCCUGCAACUUGGCAAGGAUGGUGUCCCAUUGCAGGUCUGUGUAGACGGUGGGUGUCACAUCCUGAGCCAAGUGGUUCGCUCAAGCCCAGGCAGGGCCUCACAGAGGAUACUCCUUAUUGCUCUUCUGGUCUUGAUCCUGCUUGUGGCUGUGCUGGCCGUUGCCCUGAUCUUUAACUCCCGAAGACGGAAAAAGCAGCUAGGUGCUCACUCCCUCUCCCCAACAACACUCUCUGACAUCAACGAUACAGCUUCCGGGGCUCCGAACCAUGAAGAAUCGUCAGAGAGUAGGGAUGGGACAAGUGUCCCACUGCUGCGGACAGAGUCUAUCCGGCUCCAGGAUCUGGACAGGAUGCUCCUAGCUGAGCUGGAGCAGUCCCCACUUCGACCCGCACACUAACUUGUGUGACCUUGAGGCUGCCAAACUUCUGAGAUGUGGUCAUCUUUGGAACGAGGUUUUGGAGAAUUUGCUCUUCGGUGGCUUCUGGUGUGGCUGUGUGGACGCGGGAGGACUGUAAACGACCCUACCAUUGGGCUGCCGCUUGCUUUUAAGGUCACAUUGGCCAAUUUGGGGGUUCUGAGGUUGCUAGUUAUAAAGGGCACACUGUGAGUCUGGGCACAGAGUCCUUCUUUACCCUCUUGCUCUUUCUAGGCCACUUUGGUGUUGUCUACCACGGAGAAUAUACAGACGGAGCACAGAAUCAGACCCACUGUGCCAUCAAGUCUCUGAGUCGCAUUACAGAGGUGCAGGAGGUGGAGGCUUUCCUGCGGGAGGGGCUGCUCAUGCGUGGCCUACAUCACCCAAACAUCCUGGCUCUCAUCGGUAUCAUGCUGCCCCCGGAGGGGCUUCCCCGGGUGCUGUUGCCCUAUAUGCGCCACGGAGACCUGCUUCAUUUCAUUCGCUCCCCUCAGAGGAACCCCACUGUGAAGGAUCUUGUCAGCUUUGGCCUGCAGGUAGCCUGUGGUAUGGAGUACCUGGCAGAGCAGAAGUUCGUGCACAGAGACCUGGCUGCUAGGAACUGCAUGCUGGACGAGUCAUUCACAGUCAAGGUGGCUGACUUUGGUCUGGCACGGGGCGUCCUAGACAAGGAAUACUACAGUGUUCGCCAGCAUCGCCAUGCUCGCCUGCCAGUCAAAUGGAUGGCACUGGAGAGCCUGCAGACCUACAGGUUCACCACCAAGUCCGAUGUGUGGUCAUUCGGGGUGCUGCUCUGGGAGCUACUAACACGGGGUGCUCCACCCUACCCCCAUAUCGAUCCCUUCGACCUCUCUCACUUCCUGGCUCAGGGCCGUCGCCUGCCUCAGCCUGAGUACUGUCCUGAUUCACUGUAUCACGUGAUGCUUCGAUGCUGGGAGGCUGACCCAGCGGCACGACCCACCUUCAGAGCCCUAGUGCUGGAAGUAAAGCAGGUAGUGGCCUCACUGCUUGGGGACCACUAUGUGCAGCUGACAGCAGCUUAUGUGAACGUAGGCCCCAGAGCGGUGGAUGAUGGGAGUGUGCCUCCGGAGCAGGUACAGCCCUCGCCUCAGCAUUGCAGGAGCACGUCAAAGCCCCGGCCUCUCUCAGAGCCACCCCUGCCCACUUGACCAAAGCCCUGAGUAGGCCACAGGCACUAGAUCUGCUAAGUGGCCUUGAGCAAAUUACAAGCUGCCUCUGGGCCUAGGACAAGCCUCAGCAUGGAAAACCUCCACUCUUUAGCUUUCUGGGGCCACUGAAGGUGGGAAACCGGGCCCAUUUGAGCCCCUCGUUCCAGCAUGAGCCAGUGACAUUUUUGUAGCAUGUAUUUAUGUAAUGUCUGUUUUGUACCUGUUUCGGAAUACAGAGGAUCCAGCAGUGAUCACAGAGAUACUACAGUGUAAAAUAAUAUAAAUAAAUAAAUGAAUGAAUAUUCGAGCACAA
This is an RNA transcript of Mus musculus (house mouse), 4961 nucleotides long. It is a transcript of the gene named macrophage stimulating 1 receptor (c-met-related tyrosine kinase), with no coding region annotated. The transcript is spliced from 19 exons. The record is from RefSeq and is marked validated. Lineage: Eukaryota; Metazoa; Chordata; Mammalia; Rodentia; Muridae.